Molecule: ribosomal RNA, 457 nt
Filed under: uncultured bacterium
Lineage: Bacteria
Description: bacterial SSU rRNA
Rfam family: Bacterial small subunit ribosomal RNA
Source: RNAcentral
GGGAGGCAGCAGUGGGGAAUAUUGGGCAAUGGAUGCAAGUCUGACCCAGCCAUGCCGCGUGCCGGAUGAAGGCCCUCAGGGUUGUAAACGGCUUUUAUUCGGGAAGAAGAGCAGGGAUGCGUCCCUGUGUGACGGUACUGAAUGAAUAAGCACCGGCUAACUCCGUGCCAGCAGCCGCGGUAAUACGGAGGGUGCGAGCGUUGUCCGGAUUUAUUGGGUUUAAAGGGUGCGUAGGUGGCUUUUUAAGUCAGUGGUGAAAUACAGCCGCUCAACGGUUGAGGUGCCAUUGAUACUGAAGAGCUUGAAACAAGUGGAGGCUGCCGGAAUGGAUGGUGUAGCGGUGAAAUGCAUAGAUAUCAUCCAGAACACCGAUUGCGAAGGCAGGUGGCUACGUUUGAUUUGACACUGAGGCACGAAAGCAUGGGGAGCAAACAGGAUUAGAUACCCCGGUAGUCCA